RNAcentral lists this transfer RNA (541 nucleotides) under uncultured cyanobacterium. RNAcentral's name for it is "partial 16S-23S ribosomal RNA intergenic spacer". The stretch from base 212 to 284 matches the Rfam family "tRNA". The record is from RNAcentral. Lineage: Bacteria; Bacillati; Cyanobacteriota.
CAGGGAGACAACAAAAUGUUUAAUAUUAUUAUUUUGUCACCUUAGGUCGAUCGGUAUCUCACAUUUUUAAUUUAUUAAGAAUUUUAUUUCCUAAGUUUUUCUAGGUCACACCCAUUAUUUUUCCUGGGCCAUUAGCUCAGGUGGUUAGAGCGCACCCCUGAUAAGGGUGAGGUCCCUGGUUCAAGUCCAGGAUGGCCCAUAUCUCUAUGUUGGGGGUAUAGCUCAGUUGGUAGAGCGCCUGCUUUGCAAGCAGGAUGUCAGCGGUUCGAGUCCGCUUACCUCCACUGAUUACCACCUCUUCCAUAACCGGUAGAAAGGAAAUGUUUUGAGUUGUGAUCAAAUUCUGAAAGAAUCUAGCUUCCUAAUGAAAUCAUUAAGAUGCUGGACUCAUUGAAUUAAUUUCAUUGUUUUCAGAGAACCUUGACAACUGCAUAGAUUAUUUUUAAAGACAAUAAGCAUCUUUUAAUGAUGCAGAUUUAUUAUUUGUGCGAAUGCAUUAAUAACAAUUCUAUUAAGCUGAUGCUUCAAUUUUGAAGUUAUU